Long non-coding RNA from Zingiber officinale, 514 nucleotides. RefSeq lists it as uncharacterized. The record is from RefSeq and is a predicted model, not a curated record. NCBI's taxonomy places the organism in Eukaryota, Viridiplantae, Streptophyta, Magnoliopsida, Zingiberales, Zingiberaceae. The transcript is spliced from 2 exons.
UGUUAAUACUUAUAUAACCUAAGUAUAAGAGCUAUCCUCGCCACACUCCACUGCCCUAAUCUCGUCAACCCUCUCCUCUCACCAUUUCCACGAACCGACGGAGCUGUUCGUCGCAUCUAGAGUUCCGACCGAGCAUUUCACUGCUUAGCUGAGCUUCACAAGGGACACCACGGUUGGAUGGGGUUCACAAUCAGCGUGGCGGCACAUCGUGAUGGCGUUCGAAGGUGACACGAAGAAGGGAGAGAUGGAUAUGAGCUAUGUGGUAGCAGUAUGGGAUGGACGUCUCAGGAUGAGUUCCGAAGAGGACUCUUCCAAACAUGAUUGAUAUUGUAAUUUAUGACUGAGACUGUAAUUUAUUGUUAGCUUCGGCUAUAUGACUGCAUGUUCUCCUAGGAGGUACCUCUAGGAUCAUGGGAUUGUUUGACUGGCUCUAUUAGUGGUUAUUGAAUAUGUGACAUAUCCACCCAUAUUAGCUAUGUACGAUCUUUUACAUAUCAUAUUUUUCUUCGCUAUA